Molecule: long non-coding RNA, 744 nt
Filed under: Numida meleagris (helmeted guineafowl)
Lineage: Eukaryota; Metazoa; Chordata; Aves; Galliformes; Numididae
Description: lncRNA (ENSNMEG00000007634.1)
Source: RNAcentral
ACAGGAGAGGAACAUGAAGUUUCUCUCUGAGGAGGGUUUGAAGUGGAUGAGAGUUACACACCACAAACUCCUCUGUGGACACCUUGCUGAAACACCAUAGCAAUGCUGCCCUCCCUGCCUGGAUCAGCAUGGAAAUGAAUUUAGUCCUCACCGACUGAUAAGAGUAGGGUACUGAAUCAUCUUCAGAAGAAAGUGGCCAUGAAGGGCUGCUGACUGGCUGCGGAAUCUUCUCCAUUUUUGCAUACCUUUCUGCAACUGCUUUAGCCCUGUCCUCCUUCAGCUGCGUGGCUUUCAAAAGGUUUCCUGAAGAAAACUCUGAUGAGGAGAUGAGGAGUUACAGAAAGUCACCAGGAAGGCUGUCACAUCGGGGAAACGCCUGGGUCUACAACCUGUUGAUGUGAGCCCUGCUGGGCCAGACAAGGACAGCAGCUCCUUGUGGUGACUGCCCACUCUCUAUGUCCUCAGGUGUCCUGACACACCUAUACAGGAGCUGGCCAGGCUGAAAACACUCCAACAAGCAUUCAUCCUGUCAAGAGACACAGAUCAACAGAAGCACAAACAUUUCCUGGGUGAUUCCGGGAAAUUCAUGGACUCAUCAGUGCUUUGUUUCUCCACCUGUAAGACAUAAAUAUUAAUAAUUCUUUCUUCUUUUCUACUUUUUUUUUUGCCUUUCCAAAGAUUUCAGUCUCACUUUUACAUGUAAAUACAAAUAAAUAUUUAUACAGAAAUAUAAAGUCCUCUUAG